CCUACGGGAGGCAGCAGUGAGGAAUAUUGGUCAAUGGGCGCGAGCCUGAACCAGCCAAGUCGCGUGAAGGAUGACUACCCUACGGGUUGUAACCUUCUUUUAUAAAGGAAUAAAGUGAGGCACGUGUGCCUUUUUGUAUGUACUUUAUGAAUAAGGAUCGGCUAACUCCGUGCCAGCCGCCGCGGUAAUACGGAGGAUCCGAGCGUUAGCCGGAUUUAUUGGGUUUAAAGGGAGCGUAGAUGGGUUGUUAAGUCAGUUGUGAAAGUUUGCGGCUCAACCGGAAAAUUGCAAUUGAUACUGGCAGUCUUGAGUGCAGGUGAGGUAGGCGGAAUUCGUGGUGUAGCGGUGAAAUGCUUAGAUAUCACGAAGAACUCCGAUGGCGAAGGCAGCUUACUAAACUGCCACUGACAUUGAUGCUCGAAAGUGUGGGUAUCAAACAGGAUUAGAUACCCCUGUAGUC
This 460-nucleotide ribosomal RNA is filed under the name uncultured bacterium. RNAcentral's name for it is "partial 16S ribosomal RNA". It matches the Rfam family "Bacterial small subunit ribosomal RNA", at positions 338 to 795 of the family's 1533-position model. The record is from RNAcentral.